RNAcentral lists this long non-coding RNA (1033 nucleotides) under Rhinopithecus bieti (black snub-nosed monkey). Its description in RNAcentral is "lncRNA (ENSRBIG00000046570.1)". Lineage: Eukaryota; Metazoa; Chordata; Mammalia; Primates; Cercopithecidae. The record is from RNAcentral.
CUUUUCCUUUGUUUAUAAUCAAGAAUAAAAAGUAUCUUACCUUCUACUCUUACACAUAUAUAGUUGUGUACACAUGCACACACCUCUGCUAGCUUAUAUCAUUUAUAAUCAAGAUUGGGAUGUCCUAGGCCUUUCAGCUUUACUCAAGUUUUCUCUCCUCUUGAAAAUGGGGCAAGUAUGAGAAUCUGUAAUAAAACGUUGUGGCUAGUGGAGGAAGUUGGAUACCAUGCCGGUGAGAUUCGACUUUUCUUGGGUAUUUAUUUAUUUAAUGUGGUGCUUGAAGAAAUUUUCAUGUGUAAGAGGCCUAUAGAAACUUAGUUUCAAGGCCAGGCGUGAUGAUUCACGCCUGUAAUCCCAGCACUUUGGGAGGCUGGGGCCGGUAGACAGCUUGAGCGCAGGAGUUUGAUACUAGCCUGGGCAACAUGGCAAAACCCCGUCUCUACCAAAAAUACAAAAAUUAGCUGGGCAUGGUCAUACGCACCUAUAGUCCCAGCUACUCAGGAGGCUGAGGCAGGAGAAUCGUUUGAGCCCAGGAGGAGGAGGUUGCAGUGAGCCGGGAUCACACCACUGCACUCCAGCCUGGGCAACAGGAGUCAAACCCUGUCUCAAAAUAUUAAAAACAUGAAACUUAGUUUCAAAACACAAGUAAUACUAUUCAAUCUAGAUAUGAAUUUUUUUUUUCAGUUGUAUGGUGGAAAGGAUUGCCAGUUGUACAACACUAAACUAGAAUGCUUUUGCUUAAUCUAUAGGAAGAAAAUGAAAAAAGAAGUCAUCAUAAAGACCACUCAGAUAGUGAAUCUACAUCGUCAGAUAAUUCUGGGAGGAGGAGGAAAGGACCCUUUAAAACCAUAAAGUUUGGGACCAAUAUUGACCUAUCUGAUGACAAAAAGUAAGUCCUUGUAGUAAUAUUUCUGUGAACUGAUGCAAAGAGUUAUCCUGUGCUAGAUUGGGAAUUCUGUACAAUUUCCUCUUCUGUUUCAUUUAUUUUCUUUUCUUUUUUUUAAGUUGACAUGAAUUUAAGCUAAACUUUUUC